UACGAAGGGGGCUAGCGUUGCUCGGAAUUACUGGGCGUAAAGGGCGCGUAGGCGGCUUAGUCAGUCAGGCGUGAAAUUCCUGGGCUUAACCUGGGGUCUGCGUUUGAGACGGCUAGGCUAGAGGAUAGGAGAGGGUCGUGGAAUUCCCAGUGUAGAGGUGAAAUUCGUAGAUAUUGGGAAGAACACCGGUGGCGAAGGCGGCGACCUGGCCUAUUACUGACGCUGAGGCGCGACAGCGUGGGGAGCAAACAGG
This 253-nucleotide ribosomal RNA is filed under the name uncultured Roseomonas sp. Its description in RNAcentral is "partial 16S ribosomal RNA". It matches the Rfam family "Bacterial small subunit ribosomal RNA", at positions 524 to 776 of the family's 1533-position model. The record is from RNAcentral. Lineage: Bacteria; Pseudomonadati; Pseudomonadota; Alphaproteobacteria; Acetobacterales; Roseomonadaceae.